GUGGUUGUCACAAUGCCGACAGACUUGCCUAAAAAUAGUCGGUAGGGCUGACUGUCUAUUACUGCUACCGAUGGCUUAAGCCACAAAGAUAAGCAGUGGCCGUGGCAGCACUAUCUGGAAUCUGGAAGUCCACACUGUAGGUCUGUACAAAGGACAAGGAGCACCUUGAAUCGAACGGACGGACAGCCAAUGUUUUCACCAUACUGUACGUUGGACAGGAAAAACUUAUUGUGAUCUUGGUUGAGCUCCAGCUCGAGUGAAAGGUUUUCCCUCCAGUUGGUGCAUCCACCCAUCCAUUUUCCGAUCCGCUUAUCCUCACACGGGUCGCGUGGGUUGCUGGAGCCUGUCCCAGCUGUCUUCGGGCAGUAGGCGGGGGACACCCUGAACCGGUUGCCAGCCAAUCACAGGGCACACAGAGACGAACA
Molecule: long non-coding RNA, 425 nt
Organism: Hippocampus zosterae (dwarf seahorse)
Lineage: Eukaryota; Metazoa; Chordata; Actinopteri; Syngnathiformes; Syngnathidae
Exons: 3
Source: RefSeq, a predicted model, not a curated record